This 65-nucleotide transfer RNA is filed under the name Curvularia clavata. Its description in RNAcentral is "tRNA-Pro". The record is from RNAcentral. Lineage: Eukaryota; Fungi; Ascomycota; Dothideomycetes; Pleosporales; Pleosporaceae.
AGCCAGGUUGGUUAGGCGCCUCAUUUAGGUUGAGGAUUUGUUAUGUUUGAAUCAUAAAAACCCGA